UUUCCGGUUGAUCCUGCCGGACCUGACUGCUAUCGGAUUGAUACUAAGCCAUGCGAGUCAUUGUAGUAAUACAAGGCAGACGGCUCAGUAACGCGUAGUCAACCUAACCUAUGGACGGGAAUAACCUCGGGAAACUGAGUAUAAUGCCCGAUAGAACAUUAUGCCUGGAAUGGUUUAUGUUCCAAAUGAUUUAUCGCCGUAGGAUGGGACUGCGGCCUAUCAGUUUGUUGGUGAGGUAAUGGCCCACCAAGACUAUUACAGGUACGGGCUCUGAGAGGAGAGGCCCGGAGAUGGGUACUGAGACACGGACCCAGGCCCUAUGGGGCGCAGCAGGCGAGAAAACUUUGCAAUGUGCGAAAGCACGACAAGGUUAAUCCGAGUGGUUUCUGCUAAAGGAACCUUUUGUCGGUCCUAGAAACACCGAUGAAUAAGGGGUGGGCAAGUUCUGGUGUCAGCCGCCGCGGUAAAACCAGCACCUCAAGUGGUCAGGAUGAUUAUUGGGCCUAAAGCAUCCGUAGCCGGCUUUGUUAGUUUUCGGUUAAAUCUGUACGCUUAACGUACAGGCUGCCGGGAAUACUGCAGAGCUAGGGAGUGGGAGAGGUAGACGGUACUCGGUAGGAAGGGGUAAAAUCCUUUGAUCUAUUGAUGACCACCUGUGGCGAAGGCGGUCUACCAGAACACGUCCGACGGUGAGGGAUGAAAGCUGGGGGAGCAAACCGGAUUAGAUACCCGGGUAGUCCCAGCUGUAAACUAUGCAAACUCAGUGAUGCAUUGGCUUGUGGCCAAUGCAGUGCUGCAGGGAAGCCGUUAAGUUUGCCGCCUGGGAAGUACGUACGCAAGUAUGAAACUUAAAGGAAUUGGCGGGGGAGCACCACAAGGGGUGAAGCCUGCGGUUCAAUUGGAUUCAACGCCGGAA
Molecule: ribosomal RNA, 916 nt
Filed under: uncultured archaeon
Lineage: Archaea
Description: bacterial SSU rRNA
Rfam family: Archaeal small subunit ribosomal RNA
Source: RNAcentral